UGAGGAAUAUUGCACAAUGGGCGAAAGCCUGAUGCAGCGACACCGCGUGAAGGAUGAAGGUCUUAGGAUUGUAAACUUCUGUUAAAUGGGAAAAAAGACUCGCUUCAAAUAAAAGCGAGGGAUGAUGGUACCAUUAGAGAAAGCACCGGCUAACUUCGUGCCAGCAGCCGCGGUAAUACGAGGGGUGCAAACGUUAUUCGGAAUUACUGGGUGUAAAGGGUACGUAGACGGCAUAUUAAGUCAGUUGUUAAAUUCCCCAGCCUAACUGGGGGUAGGCGAUUGAAACUGAUAAGCUAGAGGAUGAGAGAGAGAAGUGGAAUUCUCGGAGUAGCGGUAAAAUGCGUAGAUCUCGAGAGGAACACCGAUGGCGAAGGCAGCUUCUUGGCUCAUUUCUGACGCUGAGGUACGAAAGCGUGGGGAGCAAACAGG
RNAcentral lists this ribosomal RNA (429 nucleotides) under uncultured bacterium. RNAcentral's name for it is "bacterial SSU rRNA". It matches the Rfam family "Bacterial small subunit ribosomal RNA", at positions 355 to 776 of the family's 1533-position model. The record is from RNAcentral.